AUAAAUAAAUUUUUUAUGAUUUAUAUAAUUUUUUUUAAAUUUGUUUUACAUAUAAAUUUUAGUGUUAAAUUUUAAUUAUUUAAAUAAUGAUUAAUUUUAAUUUGUAGUAAUUUAUAUUAAAAAUUUAAGAAAUUAAGAUUUAGUAAUAUAAGAAUUUAUAACAAAUUUUGUGCCAGCAGUUGCGGUUAAACAAAAAUUAAAUAAAAUUUUAUUAGUAAUUAAUAAGUAUUAAUAAAAUUAAUUUAAAUAUUGAAUUAUUAAGUGAAAUUUUAAUUUAAUUAAAAAUUAUUUUUAAUAAAUAUGAUUUAAAAAAUUUUAAUGUAAACUAGGAUUAGAUACCCUAUUAUUAAAAAUUUAAAUAAAAAAUACUAAAAUAGUAUAUAAUUAUUUAUUGAAACUUAAAUAAUUUGGCGGUAUUUUAGUUUAUUUAGAGGAAUCUGUUUAUUAAUUGAUAAUCCACGAAUAAUUUUACUUAAUUUAUUAUUUUGUAUAUCGUUGUUAAAAAAAUAUUUUUUAAUAAUUUUAAUAUUUUAAAAUUUUUAAUAAAAAUUAAAUCAGAUCAAGAUGCAGAUUAUAAUUAAGAAUAUAAUGGAUUACAAUAAAAUUAUUUAUAUGAAUAUUAAUUUGAAAUAAUUAAUUGAAAUUGGAUUUAAAUGUAAUUUUAUUUAAUUUAAUAAAAUGAUUAAAUAUUAAAAUAUGUACAUAUUGCCCGUCGCUUUCAUUUAUAAAUUGAAAUAAGUCGUAACAAAGUAGAGGUACUGGAAAGUGUUUCUAGAAAGAA
Molecule: non-coding RNA, 781 nt
Filed under: Eugnosta dives
Lineage: Eukaryota; Metazoa; Arthropoda; Insecta; Lepidoptera; Tortricidae
Source: RNAcentral